Pangasianodon hypophthalmus (striped catfish) is the source of this 4708-nucleotide long non-coding RNA. RefSeq lists it as uncharacterized. The record is from RefSeq and is a predicted model, not a curated record. The transcript is spliced from 5 exons. NCBI's taxonomy places the organism in Eukaryota, Metazoa, Chordata, Actinopteri, Siluriformes, Pangasiidae.
UAAUAAAGACACGCACCUUCACUGUCAGAAAUCAUGGACAUAAUGAGCCCGGGGUGUCUGGGCUCCUUCUCUGAAGUGCAUCUAUCUUGUCUGUUCCUAAUGAGGAGCCAAUACCACAAGAAUCACAAGAUAUUAAGGUGUGGGAUUUGAAGAGAGGAACUUGGACAUUUACAGAAACUCCAGGUGUGUCAUGAGAUUUAACGCUGCACUGUGGCCCGAUUUCUUCACUUCAUCCUUGAAUUGGAGUGAAGAGGGUUGGAUAGGCUCCUUCUCCUUCGAUGUGCAGAACAGGCCUGCGGAGCUGGAUGUUUACCCCCGACUCCACCAAAUGAAGACCGGUGGCAUUGAGAGGAAUGAAAAGAAGCUGUGCUUUAACUGUAUCAGCAAUACAGACAGGUUCAAGGAUCACACGUGAGUGGAGCAAUACAGCCAGCUGUAUGUGGGUAAGAUACACACAUAUACACAUUCAUAGAGAAAUCUCAUCAAACAGCUCUCCUGCAACUCCAAAAGUAAAUGCACUCACACAUCGGGGCUAUAAACACAGCUGAACAUGUUUUAGACAUAAGAAGCAGUACAUUACACUCCUACGGAUACACAAGGAAGACUGUAUAUUUAUUAAGAAACUUCUAAAUAUGACAAGUGAAAUUUACAUAAAUGUUACUUGCACUGAUAAACCCAUUAUCAGGCUGAUACCCAGUGCAUCCAGCCACAAGAGCCAUUUGCAUUAAUGCUCAUUUUAAUGUAAUCACUAACUGCUUUUAAAAUAAACUUGCUUGUUGGUAAAAAAAAAAAAAAAAAAAAAAAAAGGAUUUGAACUUUAAUAUUAAUGCUAGUUACUCCAGCUUACUGGAGCAGGAACCUGCAAGCACAACCAAGAAAAAAAUAUUAAAUUAGAAAUUGGUCAAAAAUCCCAUUAUGGCUAUGAAAAAAAUGUACAAGUUGGUUCUCAGGGGGUAAUUAUCCUUGAAAAUAUAUGACUUUGGCUUUUUUCUUGUGCUGUUUUGUUCCUUGGCUCAUUCAGCACAUUAGGAAAGUUUGCAGAGCAAUUGCUUUUAUCGUCACACACUAAAACCCAUGACAAAAAUUAUACAGAACCCAAAACAAACUUUUACAGUCCUGUUAAAGAUAUUUUGUUUCAAUUACCAUGAGGAAAUCCAUAAACCCAAAGACCCACUCCCAGGUCACCUUCGAUAGCUAAUAGCAUUAAACACAGUGAGAAGUCCAAGUCCGUUUAGCUCCUGUGUCACUGCCUUAUUUAUACACAACUAUGCCUCCAAGCAUUCUGGCCUAUAAGCACCCGAAAAUGUAAUUUUUUCCCCAGAUUAGACCUGAAAAAUGUAUUACCUGCAUAUCAAUGCCUCAUUUAAUAUACUGCUCUCUGUAAAAAAAAAAAAAAGGCUGAAAUGUCAUUUUUGUCCUUAGUCAGCCAGUUGAGAUGGAUUGUAGCAUUCGUUUCUGACCCUCAGUGUAGUAGUAAAUGCAUCUUAUUCAAUGAAGCAUGAUGGAACGAUUCUUAUAUCUGCCACAGAUUCAUUUUGUAUUCACUGCUCAUCUCCUGACUUAAACUUUAAAGCAGAUGUAAAAUUUAUUUAUACCUGUGCCAUCAUCGCUCGCCUUGGCUUCAAGCUCAAAUGUUCGUUUUAUAUUCCAGAGCUGCGAACGUAUUGACUUAACAUCAGCAUCUAUAUCUGACUGCCUUUGUGUUCAACUCGUGUUUUAUUUGCCUUUUAGUUUUCAACAUAAGUCACAUUUUACCAUUUCAGUACAAUUUGUUGUUUAUGGCUUGUUUCUGUGUUGUGUUUGUUUCUGCCUCUGCCUGUCAGGAAGGCCUGUCAGGACAGGAGAUAACAUUUCCAGACAAAAUAUCUCAGAAUAAACCAAUAAAUCAUGGUAUCAUUCUACAACAUAUACAGGGAUUUGUAUGGCAGACCUUCCUGAUAAAUGGAUUAAAAACAUGUAAUUGUUGAUAUGGUGGGGAGCACGGUGGCCAGCACGUUUGCCUCACACCUCCAAGGUUCAAAUCCCACCUCCGCCCUGUGUGUGUGGAGUUUGCAUGUUCUCCCCAUGCUUCAGGGGUUUCUGCCGGGUACUCCGGUUUCCUCCCCCAGUCCAAAGACAUGCAUUGUGGGCUGAUUGGCAUUUCCAAAUUGUCUGUAGUGAGUGAAUGGGUAUGUGAAUGUGUGUGCGAUUGUGCCCAGAGAUAGGUGGGCACCCCGUCCAAGGUGUGCCCCUGCCUUGUGCCCCAGGUCCCCCUGGGAGAGGCUCCAGGUUCCCCUGGGACCCUGCGUAGAAUAAGCAAUAUGGAAAGUAGAUGAAUGGAUGGAUGAAUGGAUGUUGAUAUGGAAAGAUUUCUCUGAGGAGAUGCUUAUUUAUUAUUUUUCUAAGGAGUCUCCAGUGUCAGCAUUUUGUGACAGUCAGGUAAAGCUGUAACUUUUCUGACACAAAAAAAUCUUGAGAACAGACAGCUUUGUGGUUUCUUAGUAACAUGGCAAGCUGAAUUUUUUUUGUUUGUUUUAUUACAUUCAAGAGAGAUAAAAAAAAUGCUGAUAAUAGGAUGACCGUUUAUAGGUAAUAGGAUGAUAAUUGGAAAUAACUUAUAAAUGGAUAAAAAUGAUGCUUCAUUUCUUCAUUUAAUAACAAAAAAAAAAUUAAUCUUUAGCUAAUUUCUGUGGUUUAAUGUAAUAAAUAAAACACUUCAGGUGUUGCACAUUGUAGAUUAUUUUCUGAUAACAGCACACCCCAUCAUACUUUAUUCCUUCCUAAUUACAGCUUCAUUUAGAGACAAAUGAAUUAAUUAUUUACCACCAGUUUAUGAUUUCACUUUAUUAAUACUGUAGGUUUCAUUAAACUCUCACUUUGCAAUUUUUGUCUUAAACCAUCAUUGUUUUUGCAGUUCGUUAGUUUUGCAGUUUUAAUAUAAUGGCUACAGUGGGAUUGUAAUCAUUAUAAUAAAUAAAAUAAUAAGGCCUGGGUGUGUGUUUACUAUAGGCCUACUCUGGCCUAAAUGGCUUUAUAUAACAACUUUAUAGCCGAGUAUUAUACACCACACACACACACACACACACACACACACACACAGAGCAGAAUGAAAGCACUUGAAAGUUAACUGAUAAUGAAGUGCCUCCUGCUCAUCUUCCUUUACUCUGCAGUUUAUAUAAAACAUUUAAGCUGCACUGCUUCUACUAAAUUUUAGAUGAAUCUACCAGAGUUUGUUAUCUGUCAAAUGCCAUUCCUGCUACAUGUUCUGUUUUUACAAUCCAUUACAAAUAAUGCUGGCCUGGUACGUAUGAAGUUGGCUCAGUGUUCUGUUUUGUUUGGCUUAGUGUUUAGCAUGUUUGCCUCACACCUCCGGGGUUGGGGGUUCGAUUCCCGUCUCCACGCUGUGUGCGCAGAGUUUGCAUGUUCUCCCCGUGCUUCGGGGGUUUCCUCCGGGUACUCUGGUUUCCUCCCCCAGUCCAAAGACAUGCAUUGUAUGCUGGUUGUAUGUAGUGUGUGAACGGGUGUGUGGGUGUGUGUGUGCGAUUGUGCCCUGCGAUGGGUCCAUUGUGUCCCCCACAUUUUGCCCUGAGCUCCCUGGGAAAAGCUCCAGGCUCCCCCAUGACCCUGUGUAGGAUAACACAGAAAAUGGAUGGAUGAUUCUCCAGAUUAAAAUCUUUGCCUCAGUGCUGUAGGUGCAGCUUCGUUGGACGCAUCCAUUGCCUGAAGAAGAACGGCGUGAAUCUAGACCUGGAAGAAAUGUCAAAGGUCACUCCUGGAUUUAAACCCAGAUGUUUUGGUCACUGGAACAGUUUCAGGAUGCACUGCCGCAACGGAGGGAAGUGUGUGACUGGUGUGAGUGCAGCGGCACGGCUUAUGAUGGACCUCUCUGCAUUAAAGCUUCCUACACAAGCAGUGCAGCGCAACAGGAACUGAUGAGGUGAUGAGGUCGAGGUGUGAAGCAGCAUCAAAGGUGCCAGGGGUCAGUGUUAGUGGACAUUGGUGAGACGGUGAGGGGGGACGCUCCACAGUUGGACUCGACCAGUUUGCCUUGGUGCGAGACGGAAAAAGUGAGCCGUGAACGAAGAGCCGCCUUCAGAGGAGCGAUGCUGUUAAACUGCACUCGGGACAGACAGCCUACGAAGCCAGGAGUGUUAUACUUCUCUAUCAGAACUGGGUCGAUGGGACCGGUUUCUGCAGGAAAGAAAGAGAAUCAUAAAUGGAGUGUGUGUUGUGCUGCAUAAUGCAUUUUGAAUCCAUCCGAGUUUUAGAACAAAAGCCUUCCAUGUAAUGCAUGAACUCCAAUGAACUUGCUUCUAGUAAACAUAAUCCACACAUAAUGUGUAUCCAUAUAGCGCCUGAAUGCGGUCUAAACUGGAUGUUUUUAAUUUGAACCCUACCACUAUACCCCUGAAACACUGGAAAACACUGGGAAAGCACUGUCUUUCUGGUGUGUGAGUCUUGACUCCAGUUCCUCAACCUCACCUACAUAACUCCAGCUCAUAACUAGAGAUUUGCACAAGUCUAUUUUUCCAAAUUAUAAACAAACUAGUAGCCUAAGUUAAAUGACCGCAACCCUGACCAAGCGGUUAUUGAGGACUAGCCAAGCUUCAUAUCUGACAACUCAUGAACCUUUCUGCUAAGCUUUCUAAAACAACAACAACAACAACAACAACAAACAGCUAAAGAGGUAUUUAAGCUGAAGAGGUUAUUAGUAAAUGAGCUUCAGGUC